CCUACGGGAGGCUGCAGUGAGGAAUAUUGGUCAAUGGGCGCGAGCCUGAACCAGCCAAGUAGCGUGAAGGAUGACUGCCCUACGGGUUGUAAACUUCUUUUAUAAAGGAAUAAAGUGAGGCACGUGUGCCUUUUUUUAUGUACUUUAUGAAUAAGGAUCGGCUAACUCCGUGCCAUCAGCCGCGGUAAUACGGAGGAUCCGAGCGUUAUCCGGAGUUAUUGGGUUUACAGGGUUCGUUGAUGGGUUGUUACGUCAGUUGUGAAAGUUUGCGGCUCACCCGUAAAAUUGCAAUUGAUACUGGCAGUCUUGAGUACAGUCGAGGUAGGCGGAAUACGUGGUGUAGCGGUGAAAGGCUUGGUGAUCACGCAGAACCCAGAUUGCGAAGGCAGCUUACUAAACUGCCACUGACAUUGAUGCUCGAAAGUGUGGGUAUCAAAAAGGAUGAGAUACCCCGGUAGUC
Molecule: ribosomal RNA, 460 nt
Filed under: uncultured bacterium
Lineage: Bacteria
Description: partial 16S ribosomal RNA
Rfam family: Bacterial small subunit ribosomal RNA
Source: RNAcentral